Molecule: long non-coding RNA, 2668 nt
Filed under: Heterocephalus glaber (naked mole-rat)
Lineage: Eukaryota; Metazoa; Chordata; Mammalia; Rodentia; Bathyergidae
Description: lncRNA (ENSHGLG00100033360.1)
Source: RNAcentral
GGAAAACUUGUUAUGGCUUGCGUUUAGAUGUUCCCCCAAAGCUUCAUGCUUUCUCAGAGGUAGCUGGAUCUAGAGUGUCUGAUGCUGGAAUUGAUUCAUGAUGCAAUGCUAGACUCAAGGGCACUAGGAUUAAGGCUGUGAGUGCUACCCACUCUAAGUAGCCUACAUAAAGAAUAAAAGGGGCAGAAAGAAGCUGUUAAGUUUCCCUUGUUGCUGUUGGUGUCUUCUGCUGCCAUGAACUAUUGCUCCUCUGCCAUGCCACUCUGCCUUGGAGCCAGCUGAUUAUGGACUGAAACCUCUACAAACUCUGAGCAGAGAGCGGUCUGCAGGAAGGAAGCCAUUACCCUCCGGACAGAGCCUUGCAGCAAAGCUCAAGACAAAGGCCCAGGCCAAGUUUAGAGGCAGAUCUAAGAAAACAGGCCCACACUCACUGGAUGGCCCGAACUAUAAACUGCCUCAGUGGUCUUGGAAGCCAUCUAGUAAAAUUAACAGGAGCUAUAAGACUGGCCAUACCCAUUGACUCAGGGCCUUCACCUUUGGGACAUUUCUGCCAGGAAAAAAAGACAACAGAGAAGACCAUCAAACGUCUUUUGCUGCCAGGCAUGGUGGCACAGACCUGUAAUCUCAGCACUCAGGAGGCUGAAGCAGGAGGAUUGCUGGGAAUUCAAGGCUAGCCUAGUCUAUAUAGUGAGUUCAAGGCCACCCUGAACUACAUAGGAAGAAUUUGCCUCAAAAAUAAAUAAAUCAAUAAAUAAAGUCCUUUGCAAGGCCUUGUGUAUCAUAUGUAAAAAGUUUAAAACAAUUUUAAGAUAUAGCACUGCUCCGAGUGCAGAGGAGGUGAGCCACGUGGUUGCCAGCAGCAUCUUCUCCCCAGCCCCAUAAAAAUGAGAAGACACAUAAACAAGGCUCAAAAACAGACUUUCAGAUCACCUGAAGCAACCCCAAAGGGAAAUGAGAUGGAACGCUCUGAUACUCAACCACCUGGACUCCAUGAACUGACAACAAAAGAGGAUCUGGAAAAAAUGAAAUCAGAAAUAAUUUCUCAGAUAACAGCAGAGAUUGUGCCCAUAGUGCAAGAUAUGAUUAAUAAAUCUAGAGAGGAUGCAAAAUAAAAAAAAUAGAGGAGCUGAGGAACAGGAUGGAAUCCCAACAUAGGAAACAAAUGGAAUCCAUAAAACAGAUAUGAACAGAUUUCCAGGAGAUUAAAAACUCCAUUGAAAGUUUACGCAGCAGAAUGAGCCAAUGUGAGGACAGAAUUUCAGAUACAGAAGAUAAGACUGCAAUUGGUGACAAGGCAAAGAAAAAUUUCUUUAAAAUUGUAAGGAACCAUGUGAAAUCAAUCCAGCAGCUGCUAGACGAUGCAAAGAAGAAUAACAUAAGACUGAUUGGAGUCAAUGAAGAAACAGGAGAGUGUCCAGAUGACAUAAAAAAACUUUUCACAGAAGUGAUGGCAGAAAACAUCCCAAGGAGGGGAAAAGAACUUGACAUACAGAUAAGUGAGGCAUAUAGGAAUCCAACUAGCCUUGAUCAAAAAAAUCUACACAUAGGCAUAUAAUAGUUAGGAUUCCAGAAAUCCAACAGAAGAACAAAAUUCUACAAGCAGUUAGAGAAAAGAAACAAAUCACAUACAAAGGAAAGGAAAGCCCAUCAGAAUCACAGCAAACUUCUCAGUGCAAACCAUCAAGGCAAGAAGAGCUUGGAGUGAUGUAUUUCAAGGUCUAAAGGAAAACAGCCUCCAACCCAGACUGAUGUACCCUGCAAAACUAUCUUUCAAAAUUGAUGGAGAAAUAAGAUACUUUCAUGAAAAAGAGCACCUUAGGAACUUCAUGAAUACGAAACCAGCACUCCAAAAAAUUUUAGACAAUAUCCUAGGAAAAGACAAUGAGGAUCACAACCCCAGGAAACCCAGCAGAAUGAAUCCAUUGGGGGCACAAGAAAUUAAAUGGAAAGGGGGAGAAUCCAACAAACAGAAAAAGUCAUGACAAUGAUAAGUCAGUAUGCACCCAUUAUAACCAUCAAUGUUAAUGGUCUCAAUUCAACAUUCAAAAGAAAUAGACUGGCAGAAUGGGUCAAGAAGCAAGAUCCAACAAUACGCUGCAUACAAGAAACACACUUAAUUCAAAAAGAAACUUAUAGACUGAAAGUUAAAGGGUAGAAAACAAUACUCCAUGUGACAGGAACCCGAAAAAAAGCAGGAGUAGCUAUUCUCCUUGCAGAGCAAGUGGAUUUCAAACUAAAACCUGAAACACUUCUGGUCCCAAGAAUUUCAGAUAAGGGAUAGUUAACUCAUAUGUACAAAUCUAUUGUGAACAUGUGUUUUCAUUCCUCUUAAGUAAAAUCUUAAGAACAGAAAUGUUGGUUCUUAACAGUAAUACAAGUAAUUUCUGUAUUGUUUUCCAAAAUAGUUUUAUCAUCUUAACAUUCACAUUAGCAGUAUUCAAAAGUUCUAACUGGUUCACACCUAAACUGACAUCUGUUCUUUUAAAACUUUUAACUUCAUCUCCCUAAUGAGUGUAUAAUAUGACCUUGUUAUUGUACUGAUUAGUAUUUUUCUGAUUCUAGUGUUGCACACCUUUCCUUGUGCUGUACUAGCUAUUUAUCAUCUUCUUGUGUUUACUUUUUGAUUAGGUUGUCUAUUAAUGAGCUGUAAGAGUUCUCUUUACAUAUU